UCGAGAAUUUUUCACAAUGGGCGCAAGCCUGAUGGAGCGACGCCGCGUGGGGGAUGAAUGGCUUCGGCCCGUAAACCCCUGUCAUUUGCGAACAAGUUGGUUCAAUUAACACCUGAACCAUUGAUAGUAGCGAAAGAGGAAGGGACGGCUAACUCUGUGCCAGCAGCCGCGGUAAUACAGAGGUCCCAAGCGUUGUUCGGAUUCACUGGGCGUAAAGGGUGCGUAGGUGGUGAGGUAAGUCGGAUGUGAAAGCUCGGAGCUCAACUCCGAAAUGGCAUUGGAAACUACCUUGCUCGAGGGUUGGAGGGGGGACUGGAAUGCUUGGUGUAGCAGUGAAAUGCGUAGAUAUCAAGCGGAACACCAGUGGCGAAGGCGAGUCCCUGGACAACUCCUGACACUGAGGCACGAAAGCUAGGGGAGCAAACAGGAUUAGAUACCCCCGUAGUCC
RNAcentral lists this ribosomal RNA (448 nucleotides) under uncultured bacterium. Its description in RNAcentral is "bacterial SSU rRNA". It matches the Rfam family "Bacterial small subunit ribosomal RNA", at positions 355 to 796 of the family's 1533-position model. The record is from RNAcentral.